This is a long non-coding RNA of Equus caballus (horse), 2593 nucleotides long. Lineage: Eukaryota; Metazoa; Chordata; Mammalia; Perissodactyla; Equidae. The record is from Ensembl.
GCCCCCCCAAUGGAGGAGACCUCCGCCUUCCUUUGUUCUCUUCCCUCAUGUAGGCACACACGCAGGAGAAAGUGUGUGAGAGAAAAUCUCAACUGUAAGCCACAAAGCAUUCACACAGUUUGACAGAAAAAUUGGUGCCAGACAUGUGAAGUCACAGGGCGAUUCUGAGCUGAGAAUAAAAUGCACGGCAUUCCCCAGGGACAGACGCAACGUUCUGGGUUCUGAGGACUAAGAGCCCUGAUAAUGUGCACCUGCUGCGAGAAGGCGCGUGCGGGAGGGAGCGGAGCGUGAGCCGCGUCUCCAAGGGACCACUUUAGUGACUCAGUAGGAGCACCUGGGGAAGGUGAAGGGGCCAGAGCCUCGGCUUGUUCUCUGCUUCCCCUCUGUGCGCUUGCGCCUGCCCCCAAUUCCUGCCGGUCCCACCUGAACAGUAGGACUCAGAAACGGGCAGUGUGACUUGCGAAGUCUCCAGACGUUAGCAGUGGACGCUGACUCAGCUUCUACAGCUUCCGGCACUUUUCCUGAGGGGCUGGGAGACAGAGCCCUUAAACAAAUGCCCCUCCUCAGGCAAAGCCAUCAGCUGGGCGUACUUUUUUGUGGGGAAGGGUGUAAUUUAGAGACCCUGUCCUCAGCUUGCUAUGCUGAGGGGGUGAGACAGGCAUCUUGCUGUUCAGGCCGCAGCAGCCCGGAGCCUCGGCAGCCGCGCACCUCCCCGCUGCCCACUCGUAAAACAACAGUUUGCUCACACUCAGGGCAGGGAGUCCACUGUGAGCCGCCCCUGGGGUUUCUGCACAUUCAGUUCUGCCUCGGCGCCACCCACCCUCCCGUCGCCGCUAGUCACAGCUGUUUUCUUUUUUCUUUCCAUCCUACGAGGGAAGCCCACAUUCCAGCGUGGAGAGCAAUGUGGUGAUAGCCACGCACUGCUGUCGUCUCGUAAGGCUGGGCUGUCACUCCAGUGACAUGGAGUCUGGAGCACUGUCUGCUCAAAGAGUCCCCUUCUCUCGAGACACACAUGUGGGAUGUGGAGUUGCAGCGUGGGGCUAAAGGAACAUUACGUGAAGCCAGCCAUUUCCUUUUUUUCUUUUGAGGAAGAUUAGCCCUGAGCUGACUGCUGCCAAUCCUCCUCUUUUUUCUUUGGAGGACUGGCCCUGAGCUAACAUCCAUGCCCAUCUUCCUCUACUUUAUAUGUGGGACACCUAGCAUAGCAUGGCUUGCCGAGUGGUGCCAUGUCCCCACCUGGGAUCUGAACCGGCAAACCGUGGGCUGCCGAAGUGGAACAUGCGCACUUAACUGCUGUGCCACCAGGCCGGCCCUGGCCAUUUCCUUUUAGAGCAAUUAGAUUACUGAUCAUAAUUCCUGAGAAAUAAAAGCAGAUCUUUCUGGCCAGGAAUUACUUGAUUGUGAAGCAUCAGAAUAAGAAAAUUGCUUUGAAAGACUUAAAUAAUCAUGUGGAGAUUGUAAGAGGCCCAUGCGUGUCAUCAUCUCCAAGGCCACGUGACACUGUUAAAGCCAACACAUUUAUUUUACAUCUAUGUGAUCAGGCCUGUUUUCUCCUCUGUCCCCAUCCUACUAUCCAUAUGGGGACAAAUUCCCCAUCUGUGCCUUCCUUUCAUUCUUCAUGGUUGAGAUUUUAAUUUCAAUGAUUAUAAAAAUUUGAUAGUGCGUUUUACUUUUGAGAGCACUUUCACCUUUUCUCACAACACUGAGAGCUAGGACGAUAUGCAUCCUACACAUUUUGCAAGUAGAAGAAGAGCACGGGCCUUAUGGCAAUUGCUUUCCCCUGAGAUGCCAUCUCCGCUUUAAUGUCUCGUGGUCAGUCAACUUCCCAUGGCAAGGCCAGCGUCCUACUUCCCCAUCUCUUUCUUAGACCUGUCCUCUUCUAAAGUCUUCCCCAGUCAUUACCAUAUCAACAGAUGGAAACUCCAUCCUUCCGGUUUCCCAGGCCGCACACUCUGGAGUCACCUUCAAUUUCUCUUUUCUCCUACUGUCUACGAUUCUGCAUCAGCAGAUGUCAUGGACUUCACAUUCAAAAUAUAGCCAGGGGCCUAGCCCUUCUCACCAUUGCCAAUGCUGCCAUUUUAAUUCUGGGCACCAAAAUCUCUUGCCUAUAUUAUUGCAGUAGCUUCCUAACUGCUCCUUUUGUCCUCAACUCCUCCUGUCCCGCAAUCUAGACUCAACAUAGCAGCCGAGUGAUUUUUUUUCAAAAUAUACUUCUGUUGCUCCUUUGCUCAAAACCCUCCAAAGCCUUGCAGUUACUGUGGCCUAUAAGGGCGUCUUGAUCAGGGCCACCUCUCUCUGAUCCCUGCUUCCCUCUUGCUCAUUCUGUUCCCACCACCCUGCCUUCUUGUUAUUUCAUAAACAUGUCAAACAAGGUUUUGCCUUAGAGCCUUUGCGUGUGCGGUUCUUUCUGCCUGGAGUGGAUUCUCUCGGAUAUAUCUCCUAGAUAUCUCUUAUGUUUAUUUGUGAGGCCUUCUUUGACUACCCUGUAUGAAAUAACAACUCCUUUGUCCACAUUCAGCAAUUCCUAACCUCUUACACUACUUUAUUUUUUCUCCAAAGCAACCGUCACCCUCUGAAUCCUUUAUAUUUUCUU